CCUACGGGUGGCAGCAGUGAGGAAUAUUGGUCAAUGGACGCAAGUCUGAACCAGCCAUGCCGCGUGCAGGAAGACGGCUCUAUGAGUUGUAGACUUCUUUUGUCCGAGGGUAAACGCACAUACUCGUAUCUUUCUGAAAGUAUCGUACGAAUAAGGAUCGGCUAACUCCGUGCCAGCAGCCGCGGUAAUACGGAGGAUUCAAGCGUUAUCCGGAUUUAUUGGGUUUAAAGGGUGCGUAGGCGGUCGUAUAAGUUAGAGGUGAAAUCCCGAGGCUUAACUUCGGAAUUGCCUUUGAUAGUGUGCGGCGAGAGAGUGGAUGAGGUAGGCGGAAGGUAUGGUGUAGCGGUGAAAUGCAUAGAGAUCAUACAGAACACCGAUUGCGAAGGCAGCUUACCAAGCUACUUCUGACGUUGAGGCACGAAAGCGUGGGGAGCAAACAGGAUUAGAUACCCGGGUAGUC
This 460-nucleotide ribosomal RNA is filed under the name uncultured bacterium. Its description in RNAcentral is "partial 16S ribosomal RNA". It matches the Rfam family "Bacterial small subunit ribosomal RNA", at positions 338 to 795 of the family's 1533-position model. The record is from RNAcentral.